Molecule: non-coding RNA, 67 nt
Organism: Podarcis lilfordi (Lilford's wall lizard)
Lineage: Eukaryota; Metazoa; Chordata; Lepidosauria; Squamata; Lacertidae
Source: the annotation of a GenBank genome assembly
GAGCUCAGCUGGUUAGAGCAUGGUGCUGAUAACACUGAGGUCGCAGGUUCGGUCCCUGUAUGGGACA